GACGAACGCUGGCGGCGUGCCUAAUACAUGCAAGUCGAACGCUGAAGGAGGAGCUUGCUUCUCUGGAUGAGUUGCGAACGGGUGAGUAACGCGUAGGUAACCUGCCUGGUAGCGGGGGAUAACUAUUGGAAACGAUGGCUAAUACCGCAUAAGAGUAGAUGUUGCAUGACAUUUGCUUAAAAGGUGCAAUUGCAUCACUACCAGAUGGACCUGCGUUGUAUUAGCUAGUUGGUGGGGUAACGGCUCACCAAGGCGACGAUACAUAGCCGACCUGAGAGGGUGAUCGGCCACACUGGGACUGAGACACGGCCCAGACUCCUACGGGAGGCAGCAGUAGGGAAUCUUCGGCAAUGGACGGAAGUCUGACCGAGCAACGCCGCGUGAGUGAAGAAGGUUUUCGGAUCGUAAAGCUCUGUUGUAAGAGAAGAACGAGUGUGAGAGUGGAAAGUUCACACUGUGACGGUAUCUUACCAGAAAGGGACGGCUAACUACGUG
This 495-nucleotide ribosomal RNA is filed under the name uncultured bacterium. RNAcentral describes it as "partial 16S ribosomal RNA". It matches the Rfam family "Bacterial small subunit ribosomal RNA", at positions 28 to 507 of the family's 1533-position model. The record is from RNAcentral.